GAAAAGGGUGAAAAGUAAGUACCAUGAAGUAACUCACAUCAUGAGGGACCAACUGGCCGCUUGAGCGUAUAGAAACCUGAUUCCGGGAUCCCGCUGGGAAGGAGGAUUGGGGGUCUCCUGAGAGAAAGUGAUUUGGCCAAUGUAGAACUCCAGCCAGAGAGGCUGUAGGAAGGUUUAUCGACUCAGAACAAAGACCAGGGAAUGAUGUGCGAGGCCACAUGGCUUUAGAUUCUGGGAGAGGAGUGGGUGAGUCUCUCUUUUUAAUGACUUUUCCUGAUGUUUUUGUUUUUAAAGGCUGGCUUGGGAGCGUCUUCAAAGCAAAGGAAGACGAUCCCCAAGGCCAGUAGGUUUGUGUACGCCCAUCUGACCCCAGCCAUGUAGUGCCGGUGUUUUAUCUGAAGUGUGACUCUGGUAAGUAUUCUGGAAUUAUUGUCAAGAAAAAAGCUGGUUUCAAUGUGCAGUGCCACGCUGAUUCUGGGAUUGUGAUAGGAAUAAGCAUAGUGAAAGUGUUUUUUAGAAACCUGAGUUCCCCGGGGAAAAAUCAUGGCCAAAUUUUGAGGCAGCAUCUGUGCUCCCUUUUGGCUGGUACUGAGUUGGGUGCUCUAGGAUUGGUGGUGUCUUGUGUGAGGCUGCAUCAUGUGAUGUGAACGUGUGUGCUUCUGUGCAGGUGAGGCUGUGUGUUUUCUCAGGAGAGAUUUCCCAUUUACACAGCCCGUUCUCCGGUGUCUACUUUUAAAGAAUAAAAUCCAGCCCCACUCUACUCUGUCUGUACAGUGACUCCUCCACCCUCACAGAGCCAUCCCUGGGUCUGGUUUAUUAUCCUCACAGCUCAGGUGGAGAACCUGAAGGGCCAGGGGGUGGCCCCAGCUCCUGAGUUCCUGAAUGAAAAAGUGAAAACACAAACCCAGGAGUCUAGGCCAGUGCUGACACUGGCAACUACUGGCAUGCUCUCAGUCAUGGGGUGUUGACCACCAUGCAGGGAGUCCAGCAUUCGUGUUUAAGCCCUAAGGAAUUCCCAGACACUGCCCAUGGUUAUAAAGUGGCCUCCAUGGUCACACAACCCAGGGCAGUUACAUACAUCUCCCCACAGACCGGCAUAGUCAUCAGUGUGAAAAGCACAAAGAUGUUUGUUUGGGUCAGCUCACAGGUCGUUUUUUGUUUAAUUUUUAAGUUCAGGGGAACCUGUGCGGGAUGAGCAGGUUUGGUACAUGGGUAAACGUGCGUCAUGAAGCAUUUGUUGUGCAGGUGAUUUCAUCAUCCACGUAUUCAGCUUAAUAUCAGUUAUUUUCCUGAUCUUCCCCCUCCUCCCACCGUCCACCCUCCAGCAGGCCCCAAGCUCACAAAUUCUAAGAGGAGUGGGGGACCGCACAGGCCAGUGCGGCCCACUUCAGGUGUGAAGUUAAUUUGCUCAGCAGCUGGCCAAAGCACAUAAGGAUCCGUGAUGAUUUUUAGUAGAUGUAGUAAUAUCUUCCCAAGCCCUAAAAUGCUCAAACCCGGCCAGCUGAAAAUGGUGAGGGAGAGGGACAGGUAGGAACUCUGUGCAGCACUUGGUUUGUAGCCUGGUUUCCAUCCCCUCAUGGCAACUCUCUUGUGCAUGCGGGUUAAAGGCCUCAGCCUCAACCCAAGCCUCCUCCAUGAGGAGACUCCCACUAUUGGCCGGCUACUGCAGCACAUGAACACCAGCCAAAGUGAAACAAAAUGUUGCUUUAAAACAAGUUAUGUAUUCAUAAUGUCCACUCAUUGUUUGUAAU
Molecule: non-coding RNA, 1751 nt
Organism: Callithrix jacchus (white-tufted-ear marmoset)
Lineage: Eukaryota; Metazoa; Chordata; Mammalia; Primates; Cebidae
Source: RefSeq, a predicted model, not a curated record